AGGAAGCAGAAGAGUUACAAAGGAUCUUCUUUCUCCCACACAGCACAAAGCAUCUUUCAAGGUCACCAUGAGUGCAUACAUUUGCAAUGUAAUGGAAUAUGCAAUUAUUCAUAAAACUAAUUCAUUGGCUAUGGAAAAAGAAACCUUCAAAUAAAUAUAUGGUUGGUGUUUUAAGGUAAGAACAUUAUUCAAAUAAGUGGAUUAUGCUGGCAUUGUUUAACUAGGCUGAGGUUUCUUGCUUUUUUUGUUUGCUUCUUUAAUGUGAUUUGCUAAUUUCAUGCUUCCAGAAUGUCAACAAGGCUAAUAAAAUAGCAAUUUAAGGCCACAUUAAAAGCUGAACUAAAUGGCACCAUUCUACUGAAGACAUUAAAACAAAAUUACAGGGUGUCCUCCUAUCAGAAGGCAUUUUUAGCUUUAAUGUAGAAUGGGGGGGCUUUAUUUCUCUCUCCCCCCUUCUGCCUGGGGCUACUGUAGCUUUGUGGGACUAGAAACCCUGGCCUAUUCUUGCUAAAAUAAUUCUUGUUGGGAUGACUUAAUUCUUUUUUCACUUGAAUAUUCACUUUCUUCUUAGGACAGUCCUUGUAGGAUUUAAGGACAAAUUAAUUGCAUACAGAGACAAUGGGACCAUAUCCUUCACUUUCUUGAUAGGAUCUCACUAGAAGGAAGCUCACCUGAACAUUUAAGGAUGAUAAACUUAUUUUGUCUCUACAGCUAUCAGUGUAUUUAGUGUUGCCAAUGUUUAAGGCUUUGUAUCAGGGUCUUUCCUUCCCACUCGAUCAAACCUGCACACACAAGCCCUGCAGACAAGGUAAGAAUCUCUUACAUACUUCUUUCCUAAUCAAUUUCAUGUAGUUCCCCCACCAAUAUUCACAUUAGUCGGUUGUAGUGUCAUACUUUGGAUAAAUUUAUAAGGUUAUCUUUACAUCAUUUGCCUCGAGUAGUGACAAAAAACAAAAGCCAGUGAAGGACACCAGAAACUUAGGACUUAAAUUCAGAAAACAACUGAAAACACAGCCAAAAGUAAUUUCAAGUGUUUGUUAGUAUUGAUACUAUUUAAAACACUUUCCUACUAGAUGUCUUAUGGUAGCCUCAUGAUACAUUGUUAUGGUAGGAAAAGAUGUUACUUAACUUCACAGGAAGUAAAGUUUAAGUCAGGGGUCCAAUGUGAGAUUUCUUCUAAAAUAAUGACUAGCUAUAAGUCUUCAGGUAGAAUUCUCUGUUUAGGAAAUACGGCAAAAUUCAGUAUUCUUCUUGGACAAAUCAAUUUUACUUUGACUUUAACUAAUGCUAAUCCCAAAUGUUGUUUCUAUGAAUGUGAGCUCUGGUUUUGAGAAUUUUUAUGCAUCUCAGAAAAUUUAAAAGUUGCAGAAGUCUUGUUCUCAUAUCUAAGGAUAACACACAUAUUAAAUUUUGAUCAGUUUUAAUCUCUGUGAUCCAUUGAUCUUGACCACAUUUUAUUACCAUCCCAACCAAUUGCCAUUCACUCUAUUUUUGUAUAGAUGUUUUGAGAUUCACUAACCUAUAAUGUAGGUUAUAAUGACACAGUAGUUUCAUAAAGACUGUCUUUCUAAUUAAUAUUGCAAGUAUAGGAGUAACAUUUGGCAACCUUUAGUACUUUGGACAGAAUUUUACCAAGUAUUCUGGAAAGAAGUAUGUCUAGAAAGAAACAAUUCAGCAAGAUAGGAAUUAAUUCCUCCCAUCUUAUCUGAUCAUUCUUUUAUAUAAGUGAAAGUAACUGCACAGAAAAGCAAUCUAAAUGAAAUCCUAGUGAUCUAAAAAAGCUAAUGUAACAUUACAAAAAUAAUCACAGUAAAUACUGGAUAUUGGUUGCUUAUUAUAGGCUGUCCAUACUUCUAACCCAUUCUAAAGCAUUCUUCCUGAAGAGAGAAUGCGGUUGUAAUCAUUGGCUUCUCUGUUGUUACCCUCAUCCUGACCAAGGGAAGAUAAAGUGAAUUAUCUGAUUGAUAAUUUGUGAUGUGUGCAUGUUGGGCUCAGCUCUGCCCUUUAUUUUGCUUGGGAGCAAGAUUACUCCACAAAAGCCUGUGUUUCCUUCUGCUCCACCCUGUGCUAAAUGUUAUGUAAACUCUCAUCGUGCUCUGUUCCAUCUCUGUCUGUGAUUGGUGGGGAAAAUUUGCCCAAUUCUGGGGUUUACUUAGAAAACUCACUUGGCUCUCUCUCAAAGCCACAUUUUUUCCAUUGACAUUAAGGAUAUGUUGGUCUCCAUAUCUACUCCUUGUCUUAUUUCUCAAAAUGUUCAGAACCUAAGAGAAUAGAGGUGCUAUUCUUUGAGGGCCCCUUUGAAGACCUGAGGUUUGCAACAUUGAAGACAAAAGUGUCCUAACCCAUUUAAUCCAUCCAAAAGCCCUUAAAAUAUUCUUAUUCUCCUUUUACAAAUGAUAAAGCAGAAGCUCAAUAAUUAAAAUACUCAAUGCCGCAUUGUAAAUAGUUGAGCUGGGAUUUGAAUAAAGUCUGCUUGUCUCUAAAUUCCAUAUUCUUAAAUUUCCAAUCUGCUUCCUCAAGGCAUGAAAGGCAUGGAAGAUAUUUGGUUCUCGCUCUCUCAUCUCCCUCACGAGUAAACAGAAUCAGAUAACCAGCUGGAGCAGUCUGAAUCAUAUGGAAACUUGGUAGGUUAGAUACUAUCUGAGGGCGAAAGAAGGGAGGGAGUCAACCUGAGGAGCAUUUUUAACCAAGAUAUAAAAACAACCCAGAUGUCCACUGACUGAUGAAUGGAUGAAGAAAAUGUAUAAACACACAGUGGAAUAUUAUUCAACCUCUAAAAAGAAGGAAAUCCUAUCAUUUGUGACAACAUGGAUGGCCCUGGGAGACCUUAAGCUAAGUGAAAUAAGUCAGUCACAGGAUAAAUACUUCAUGAUUCCUCUUAUAUAAGGCACCUGAAAUUGUCAAAGGUAUAGAAAUAUAUAAUAUAAUGAUGAUUAUCAGGGGAUGGAGGAGGGGGAUUUUGUCCAAUGGGUAGAUAUGCUGUACAACACAGUGCCUAUAGUUAACAAUAAGGUACUGUGCACUUAAACAUUUGUCUAUUUUCUUAAAUGUAUCAAAUAAUCAUCUUUAACACUAGGACUCAGAAAUAUCUUGGACGGUGAUUUGGAUUGCUUUCAGAUUUGGGGCUAUAUCUUUUGACUUUUGUGUUCCUUUCUGACUCUAAAUCAAUAUAGCAAAGCUUUGCUUUUAGGCAAAUUUCACUAAAUGCACACCAGUUACAAUUGAGGUGGAUUUAACUCACUCAUGUUUGUGUCUGAUUCCUAAUUAUAUGUUUCCAAUCACUUAGUUACUUUAAUCAAUUAUCUACUGAAGCAUCGUGGUUCCAGAUGUAAUCUUAACAUAGAAAUUAAAUGAGAGAAAAUGUGGGAUUUGGGACAUUAAGCACACAACUAAUUAAAUCAUAUUGAAUCCAUUGACUUAGGUUUCACUUUAUUAUGAACAUUUAUCUUGAUAUUUUAUUCAAUCAGGAAUGCUAUUUAUGGGUUGAGUGUAUCUGCCCUUAACUUACUUUCACUAUUAUUACAGGGUUAUUUAUACUGGGAAAAUAGAUGAGAUUGAUAAUCAUAAUUCACAUAGACUAAACCUAUAGACCCCAAAUGUUUGAAAUGGUCAUCUGAUUACAUCUACAAGGUAAGAUUUGGGGAGGGAUAUGUGUUGAAUAGGGUUGGUAAAUAUUCGGGGUGCCUGGGUGGCUCAGUUGGUUAAGCAGCUGCCUUCGGCUCAGGUCAUGAUCCCAGGGUCCUGGGAUGGAGCCUUCAUUGGGCUUCCUGCUCAGUGGGAAGCCUGUUUCUCCCUCUCCCUCUCCCUGCCUCUCUGCCUACUUGUGCUCUCUAACUCUCUGUCAAAUAAAUAAAACCUUAAAAAAAAAAAAGAGUUGGUAAAUAUUUGCUUUCUUGACUUUACUAUUGUGUUAUGCGUAUGUUGCAUGUUGCAUGUAUGGUGUUAAUAUUAAUAAUGUAAAGAUUAUAUGAGGCUGUGGAAGACAAAUCUCCUUUUAGAAACUUACCAUGCGAACAGCAAAUAAUAAUCUAAUGCAUAAAAACCUGAAACAUGACAUGUGGAAUCAUAUAGACUUGAGUUAGAAUCUUAGUUCUACCAUGUACUAUGAUUUACUGGAUUUUUCCAAGCCUCAGUUUCCCAUAUGUAAAACUGGGAAUAAUUAUUAUUUCUCCCAACAAUUCACUGGGAGAAUCAAAUGUGAUAAUGAAUGUAAAAUGCUAAGAGCAUUGUGCCUGUAUAUUGUAAGUGCUUAAUACAUUUUUCUUUAGUGAUACUGAUGGAAAAUAUAGAGAAUAUAUGUAAGUGAUUGUCAUGAAUAUCCUAAAAAUUCAUAAAAAUAGUAGCUUAAAUGGAUUUGUUUAGUGUAUCAAAAACUGCAGUAGUAUGUUACACGAGCAAAUAAACUUAAUUGAAACUUAAUCUAUUUAAUUCAAAAUUAAGCCCUAUUUGCAACUUUGCAGUUACCCCAGGAGAAGUGUAGAAUGGUACAUGUUUGUGAUUUAUGCUCACAAGAGCCCUGGAUUCUGAUACUGUUCUCACGGAACCAACAAUAGGAUUAGAGGUUUCUAUUUUGUGGUGGUUGAUAAAAACCCGUCUACAAAGUACAUCCCCUCAUCUCAGUGGUUUGGAAGUUUAAUGUGCAUAAUGAAAACACAUGGUUCUUCAGAUAUGUAAAUUGAAACAAACUUAGAGAUUCUGAUUUAGGUUGUGGCAGUGUGACAAAGAACUGUGAAUUUUUAUAUGUGUCACAGAUAACUCUGAUUUAGGUAGUUAGGAGCAACACUUUGAGAAUCACAGCAAAAUGAUCUCUGCUCUGAGUAUCUUGAUAAUAGAAGCCUAGAAGUCCAGGCUGGAGAGAGAAGAAAUUGGGAUUUGAAGAAGACAGAGGCGGAUUGAAGUACAGUUGGUGUUAAGUCAAAGAUUCCAUCUUUGAAAAUGUAUGACAAUCUAAAGUCCCUGAUUAUGACAUGAAAUGCAUCAAUAAUGGAUUUGGUAGUCACUGAGUGAAGACAGGAGACAAAUGUGAAUGCUUGUGGGUACAAAGGUUAGGAUCGAAAUCAGUAGGUGGUGGGGAUGGUUUGGUGGAUAUAUUGAAAAUGAAAUAAACCACCUAUGAUGGAAGAACAUAGAAUUAAAAUUCCUGUUAUGCCCAUUAAUACAAAGGGCUUCACUUAAGGAUUUAAGUAUCGAAAAUACUUGGGAAAUAUUGAAAUAAAAAAUCUGGAGAAGUUUUGUAGAGAUACAGUAAUUAUCAGUUAUACCAUAUGAAAUUAAUUUUGAAAUUCCUUUAAAAAAUGAUUAAAUCUCUAUUAUGUUUCAGACCCUGGUUAUUUAUCUAUGUACCAUAUCCUAAAGGAAAAGCUUUGAGAAAAUGCCCUCCUUAGGAAAUAUGUACAUUUCAAUACCCAGGUCAAAACUUUCUUACAUUAAAAACAAACAAACAAAAAACUUUUUUUUUAAAUCCAUGUGAAGUUAUUUUUUCCUCAAUAAAGUAAAAAUAAUAAAUUACAUUCAUAGUAAUUUUGACUUAACAUGGGAAAAUUAGAAAUACCUUGGGUUCUUCUAUGCCUUUGAUAUAAAAGUUGCUUUAUCAAAAUAAUCGAUGGUAAGUCAUACAAUAUAAUAUUCUUCACAUGAACAUUUGUGAAAAUGAUUUGUAAACCGAAUGAUAAUAUAAAAAUACAUAUUAUUAUUACGUGCUGUUCCCUGAAUGACACAAGUCAGUACAAAAAAUAUGAUGCAUAAAAAUCAAGCUAAUUUGGACACUGAGGAAAGAACAGUAGGAAUUAUAGUAAAAGAAACAGGGCUUGUUAAAUAUCCAUUACCUGUCAAGCACUGUUUUAUGUACUUGUAUUUAUUAACUUUAAUUCUUUUUUUAAGAUUUUAUUUAUUUAUUUGAGAGAGAAAGCCUGUGUGCGUGAGCAAGACGGAGGAGCAGAGGGAGAGGGAGAAGUGGACUCCCAACUGAGCAGGAAGCCAGACUGGAAUCUCAACUCCAGGACCCUGAGAUCAGGACCUGAACCCAAUGAAGACGCUUAACCAAAUGAGCCACCGGGCAUCCUUAUUAACUUUAAUUCUUAAGCAAGUACUGUAAGGAAGACCUCAUUUCACAAACGGUAACUGAGACACAGAGAUGUGAAGUAACUUGUCAAGGAUACAUAACUUGACCAUGGCAAAACCAAUAUUUAAAUUUAGACAUUCCUGCAUUUUUCAUUAAAAUUCUCAUAAAUAUCUCUAGCAUAUAUUAUGUAUUCAGUGUUUACUUCCGACUGCAUACAGAAACAAAUAAGUAGCUAUGAAAUGUGUGAUGGUCUCUUUAAAAAGGGGGUCGAUAGUGGGAUUUGGAAUUCCUCAUUUCAUAUAUAUAUAUAUAUAUUUUUUUUUUUUUGAUCAUGUAUGUGAGAGUUUAUUUCCUGGCUCUCCAUUCUAUUUUACUGGUUUGUAUGCCUGCCGCAUUGCCAAUAAUACCCUGUUUUGAUUAUUGUGACUUUGCAGUGAAUUUUAAAAUCAGGAAGUGUGAAACAUCCAAUUUUGUUCUUUUUGAAGUCUAUUUCAGGGGCUCUUGAAAAUUGUAGGUAAUUUUAGGUAUUUCAGGGCUUCCAUAUGAAUUUUAGAAUGGAUUUUUCCUUUUCUGCAAAAAAAUCUUUGGAAUUUUGAUAGGAAUUGCAUUUUAUUUGUAGAUGGCUUUGAGUCAUAUUGACAUUUUAAUAAUUAUAUAAUA
Mirounga angustirostris (Northern elephant seal) is the source of this 6721-nucleotide long non-coding RNA. RefSeq lists it as uncharacterized. The transcript has 3 exons. Lineage: Eukaryota; Metazoa; Chordata; Mammalia; Carnivora; Phocidae. The record is from RefSeq and is a predicted model, not a curated record.